RNAcentral lists this long non-coding RNA (347 nucleotides) under Homo sapiens (human). RNAcentral's name for it is "HSALNT0403359". Lineage: Eukaryota; Metazoa; Chordata; Mammalia; Primates; Hominidae. The record is from RNAcentral.
GUGCCAUAUAGCUAUUAUUAUUUCGGUGACUGGAAUGCAAAUGGACACAAAGCUAAGUCCCAUUCUCUCAUCCCAUACUGUCAAUGGAAAAGAGUAAACCCUGCCAUAAACUCUUCGCUCCUGUUAUUCCAGUUGAGGAGAGACCAUAUCACAUUCUAGAGAUGGCUGCAUGCAAGCAUUUGAAACCUUUGAGAGAAUACAGUGCACCCUGGAGACUAUUAUUAUGACUAUUGGGAGAAUAAUAUCAAGAGUUUGGAAUAUGCUCCUUCCUCAGGAUCCCCAUAAAACAAACCUCCUAAAAUCAAAUGGAUCAAAUAAUGAGCUAGAUAAAGAAUGUACUCACUUGA